Molecule: signal recognition particle RNA, 98 nt
Filed under: Clostridia bacterium
Lineage: Bacteria; Bacillati; Bacillota; Clostridia
Description: signal recognition particle sRNA small type
Rfam family: Bacterial small signal recognition particle RNA
About the family: The signal recognition particle (SRP) is a universally conserved ribonucleoprotein involved in the co-translational targeting of proteins to membranes. Archaeal SRP consists of a 7S RNA and homologues of the eukaryotic SRP19 and SRP54 proteins.
Source: RNAcentral
UACGGAAAGUAUACCAAUAGAGACCUAUGAAUCUUGUCAGGUCCGGAAGGAAGCAGCAAUAAGUAGUAAAUCUUUAUGUGGAGAUACUUUCCGUAGAG